CAACUUGAAAGACAUGAAAAACUUUAGAAUUAAGAAAAUAAGAACAAAAGAAUCAACAGAAUAAGAGAUGCAGAAACCUACUUGAGAUUGAACUACACUCCACCACCUCAAGCCAGGUUAGUGACCUUCAUAGUGUCGCAUUAUGUAUCCAACUUCAUACCCCUUAUGUUUCAACAAAAAAAAAAAAAACAAAAAACAAGAAACAAUACAAAAAAAGAAAAAUUAAAAAAAAAAUCUGUACAAAAUCGCAACAAUGAUCCUUUUAUGGCAAUUCUAGCAGCAUUUACUUAAAAUCACAACAAAACUGAAUGCACUAUAAAUUGACCAUCUAAAUUAUCACUCGGUCUCAUAGCCAUUCUCAAGGUCGUAACAGAAUCUCACACAGAGGCUCCAACUAAGUCUCAGAGAGGGUUAACGACCUAGACCCACGGACUGGCGCC
This 440-nucleotide long non-coding RNA is filed under the name Physcomitrium patens. RNAcentral's name for it is "long non-coding RNA (PPAT_LNC010662)". The record is from RNAcentral. Lineage: Eukaryota; Viridiplantae; Streptophyta; Bryopsida; Funariales; Funariaceae.